AAUCUCGUGAGCUUUCGUGAAUGUGUGAAAGUGACCCAGACCAGACCGCAAGACCUUGCAACGUUAACGGCCUUCCUGAAAUUUUGUCCAACCCCACCCAGCGCAGUUUGACAACCUUCGGCCCAAUAACCACCUUGACCCUAGAAGAAAGGAUCCUAGAAUGGCUUCUUGGCCCAGAUUGAAAAUAUUCAGCUUAAUCACAGCCCGGUUUCCAAACGUUUAACCCAACUAAAGCUUACGGAGCCAUGCCGCACCGGAGAAGUUUGAAGCUCUCUCUGGUCAAGUUUGGGGCCAAUGAUUUCGCAAUAACUAAGCAAAUAUAAAGUAUGAUUUUUGUUGCAGAGCCCUGAUGGGUUAACUGUGAUUUUGGGAGGGUCUUUGGACCACCGAGCACCGACAAAGCAAGAAUCUCCCCUCUGGAUGGUUUAUUUUAAGCGUAAUAACCGUGCCAAGUGCUAUUUUUCCUCGAGGUUUUGCUACUUUGGGUCUUUUAACUGAAAUGCA
Molecule: non-coding RNA, 504 nt
Organism: Prunus avium (sweet cherry)
Lineage: Eukaryota; Viridiplantae; Streptophyta; Magnoliopsida; Rosales; Rosaceae
Source: RefSeq, a predicted model, not a curated record